Molecule: microRNA precursor, 67 nt
Filed under: Bombyx mori (domestic silkworm)
Lineage: Eukaryota; Metazoa; Arthropoda; Insecta; Lepidoptera; Bombycidae
Description: mir-2774 microRNA precursor family
Rfam family: mir-2774 microRNA precursor family
Source: Rfam by way of RNAcentral
ACAACAUUCGGUUCGUCGGUCUACCGAGCAAUAUCACCAGGUCGAUGGAAUAUCUUCCCUUUUUCGU